RNAcentral lists this ribosomal RNA (304 nucleotides) under uncultured bacterium. Its description in RNAcentral is "partial 16S ribosomal RNA". It matches the Rfam family "Bacterial small subunit ribosomal RNA", at positions 506 to 807 of the family's 1533-position model. The record is from RNAcentral.
CAGCAGUAGCCACGGGAAAACGAGGGGUGCAAGCGUUAUUCGGAUUGAUUGGGUGUAAAGGGUGUGCAGACGGCUUAUUAAGUCACUUGUCAAAUUCUUCGGCCUAACUGAAGAUCUGCAAGUGAUACUGAUGAGCUAGAGGGUGGAAGAGAGAAGUGGAAUUCUCGGAGUAGCGGUAAAAUGCGUAGAUCUCGAGAGGAACACCAAUGGCGAAGGCAGCUUCUUGGUCCAUUCCUGACGUUCAUACACGAAAGCGUGGGGAGCAAACAGGAUUAGAUACCCCUGUAGUCCCUGUCUCUUAUAC